AUGCAGGUGGUUUGGUUUAAGUUACAGAUGUGAAAGACCCGGGGCGUCAACCUACGGAAUAGCAUUUGAAACUAGGCAGACAGAGUACUGUAGAGGGGGGUAGGAAGUUUCAGGUGUAGCGGUGAAAUAGCGUAGAGAUCUGAAGGAAUACCGGUGGCGAAGGCGGCCCCCUCGGACAGAUACUGACACUCAGAUGCGAAAGCGUGGGGAGCAAACAGGAUUAGAUACCCCUGGUAG
RNAcentral lists this ribosomal RNA (237 nucleotides) under uncultured bacterium. RNAcentral's name for it is "partial 16S ribosomal RNA". It matches the Rfam family "Bacterial small subunit ribosomal RNA", at positions 569 to 793 of the family's 1533-position model. The record is from RNAcentral.